GUGAGGAAUAUUGGUCAAUGGGCGGGAGCCUGAACCAGCCAAGUCGCGUGAAGGAAGAAGGAUCUAUGGUUCGUAAACUUCUUUUGCAGGGGAAUAAAGUGCAGGACGUGUCCUGUUUUGUAUGUACCCUGAGAAUAAGGAUCGGCUAACUCCGUGCCAGCAGCCGCGGUAAUACGGAGGCUCCGAGCGUUAUCCGGAUUUAUUGGGUUUAAAGGGUGCGUAGGUGGUUUGAUAAGUCAGCGGUGAAAGUUUGCAACUUAACUGUAAAAAUGCCGUGGAAACUGGAGGACUUGAGUGUAAAUGAGGUAGGCUGAAUGAGUGGUGUAGCGGUGAAAUGCAUAGAUAGCACGCAGAACUCCGAUUGCGAAGGCAGCUUACUAAGCUACAACUGACACUGAAGCACGAAAGCGUGGGGAUCAAACAGGAUUAGAUACCCUUGUAGUCC
This 445-nucleotide ribosomal RNA is filed under the name uncultured bacterium. RNAcentral describes it as "partial 16S ribosomal RNA". It matches the Rfam family "Bacterial small subunit ribosomal RNA", at positions 354 to 796 of the family's 1533-position model. The record is from RNAcentral.